Molecule: ribosomal RNA, 697 nt
Filed under: uncultured Micromonospora sp.
Lineage: Bacteria; Bacillati; Actinomycetota; Actinomycetes; Micromonosporales; Micromonosporaceae
Description: bacterial SSU rRNA
Rfam family: Bacterial small subunit ribosomal RNA
Source: RNAcentral
CGAGCGGAAGGCCCUUCGGGGUACUCGAGCGGCGAACGGGUGAGUAACACGUGAGCAACCUGCCCCAGGCUUUGGGAUAACCCCGGGAAACCGGGGCUAAUACCGAAUAUGACCUCUGACCGCAUGGUUGGUGGUGGAAAGUUUUUCGGCUUGGGAUGGGCUCGCGGCCUAUCAGCUUGUUGGUGGGGUGAUGGCCUACCAAGGCGACGACGGGUAGCCGGCCUGAGAGGGCGACCGGCCACACUGGGACUGAGACACGGCCCAGACUCCUACGGGAGGCAGCAGUGGGGAAUAUUGCACAAUGGGCGGAAGCCUGAUGCAGCGACGCCGCGUGAGGGAUGACGGCCUUCGGGUUGUAAACCUCUUUCAGCAGGGACGAAGCGUAAGUGACGGUACCUGCAGAAGAAGCGCCGGCCAACUACGUGCCAGCAGCCGCGGUAAGACGUAGGGCGCGAGCGUUGUCCGGAUUUAUUGGGCGUAAAGAGCUCGUAGGCGGCUUGUCGCGUCGACCGUGAAAACUUGGGGCUCAACCCCAAGCCUGCGGUCGAUACGGGCAGGCUAGAGUUCGGUAGGGGAGACUGGAAAUUCCUGGUGUAGCGGUGAAAUGCGCAGAUAUCAGGAGGAACACCGGUGGCGAAAGGCGGGUCUCUGGGCCGAUACUGACGCUGAGGAGCGAAAGCGUGGGGAGCGAACAGGA